This 253-nucleotide ribosomal RNA is filed under the name uncultured bacterium. Its description in RNAcentral is "partial 16S ribosomal RNA". It matches the Rfam family "Bacterial small subunit ribosomal RNA", at positions 524 to 776 of the family's 1533-position model. The record is from RNAcentral.
UACAGAGGGGGCAAGCGUUGCUCGGAAUCACUGGGCGUAAAGCGCACGUAGGCGGCUCUUUAAGUCAGGGGUGAAAUCCUGGAGCUCAACUCCAGAACUGCCUUUGAUACUGGGGAUCUCGAGUCCGGGAGAGGUGAGUGGAACUGCGAGUGUAGAGGUGAAAUUCGUAGAUAUUCGCAAGAACACCAGUGGCGAAGGCGGCUCACUGGCCCGGUACUGACGCUGAGGUGCGAAAGCGUGGGGAGCAAACAGG